GAUGAACGCUGGCGGCGUGCCUAAUACAUGCAAGUCGAGCGAACAGACGAGGAGCUUGCUCCUCUGACGUUAGCGGCGGACGGGUGAGUAACACGUGGAUAACCGACCUAUAAGACUGGGAUAACUUCGGGAAACCGGAUCUAAUACCGGAUAAUAUAUUGAACCGCAUGGUUCAAUAGUGAAAGACGGUUUUGCUGUCACUUAUAGAUGGAUCCGCGCCGCAUUAGCUAGUUGGUAAGGUAACGGCUUACCAAGGCAACGAUGCGUAGCCGACCUGAGAGGGUGAUCGGCCACACUGGAACUGAGACACGGUCCAGACUCCUACGGGAGGCAGCAGUAGGGAAUCUUCCGCAAUGGGCGAAAGCCUGACGGAGCAACGCCGCGUGAGUGAUGAAGGUCUUCGGAUCGUAAAACUCUGUUAUUAGGGAAGAACAAAUGUGUAAGUAACUAUGCCCGUCUUGACGGUACCUAAUCAGAAAGCCACGGCUAACUACGUG
RNAcentral lists this ribosomal RNA (497 nucleotides) under uncultured bacterium. RNAcentral describes it as "partial 16S ribosomal RNA". It matches the Rfam family "Bacterial small subunit ribosomal RNA", at positions 28 to 507 of the family's 1533-position model. The record is from RNAcentral.